Molecule: long non-coding RNA, 1794 nt
Organism: Cyanistes caeruleus (blue tit)
Lineage: Eukaryota; Metazoa; Chordata; Aves; Passeriformes; Paridae
Source: RefSeq, a predicted model, not a curated record
ACAUAUAAAGCCUAAGAUAGCAAAUUCCAGCAUUCAAAAGACCAUAAUCACCCAGAUGCAGAUUACCAAAUUGGACAUUAGCAAGUAAGUGGUGGGUGCAUCUGCUGUACCCGCCAGUGAACUAUAUUUAGAGGUAGACACCCAUCUGAAUAUUGAAAGCUGUUCCUUUCUUCUUCAAGAUUUGCUCAGCAGAAACAUCUAUAGAGUUGCAUCUUGUACCUACACAGCAACAUAGAUUUAAAUAUCUGCUGUGUACCAUCAGACAGAAGGGGAACAAUUCCUCAUUGCACAGAAAACAUGCAGUUUUGCACUCCAUGCAAAGCUUGGAGUGCUUUGCCAAUCUCUCUUCAUAUUGCUUGAGUGGAAUCUUUUUCAAAUGUAUCCUCUAUAAUUCCAUAUUGCUGAUAAACUGAGGCUCUGACAUACCACUGAUUGCUUCUGGCUCUCAAAGUUUCACCUCAGCCCUCCCAGCUGUCUCCUCUCAUUGUUAUUUUCACCCUUCUCCUUGACAGCAAUAUGCAGAAUCUCUGCUGUCUCCUUGUGUAACUCAAAGGUAUAUCCUUACCUUUUGAGUUCACAGUCCUGGGUAGUUUUUCCAUAUAUUGGAGUCCCCAGGCUUCCUGUGUGGUACUUAGAACAUUCCUUUUUUUUUUUUUUUUUCCUUUGCUUAUAGGACAAAGCUUAUUUUCAAGGGUUAGAACUUAAAUGUUUGGAUAUCAUAGACUGAUGAUAGAAUCAGAGAAUGGUAUGAGUUGGGAGGCUUCUAAAAGUUCAUCUAGUUCAAUCCAGGCAGGGACAUCUACUACAUCAGGCUGCUCAAAGUUCCAUCCAGCCUGGCUUCUCCAACACUUCCAGAGAUGGGGCAUGCACACAGCUUCUCUGGGCAGCUUAUUCCAGUGCCUCACAGAAUGUAAUCUUUCAAAUGGAAGAUGUUCUUCAGAGUAACAGAAAAGAUUGUAUGAUUGAUAUGUGCAAAGAUGUGUUCAAGGCAAGAGGUUUUGGGUUACAGUUAAGAAGCACAAAGUAAAACCAGAUGACUGAUGCUUCGUAGUGCAUUUGGAUUUGAAAGAGGACCAGCUCCCAACAAGCUGAAAGUACAGAAAUUCCAGAGCGAAGAUAGCAAUAGUGGUAUGGAUAAUAAAGCAGGGAACUCUGGCACAUGAAUGUGGACACAUGUAUCUCCAUGCUGUGGGGACUGCUUUUGCAGGGAAUGAGAACAGAAAACAAAAAACGUUUUUGUUAUUACAGGAAAAUAAGGCAUAAGGAUAGAGAAAUGCAGGAUUUCCAUAAGGAAUAACUGAGACUAUUACAUGGAGUCCCUGGAAUGAAGGGGAAAGAGAUGGCAUCACAAUGAUCUCUUGGAGCCAUUGUUGACCACUCUCUGGAGUUCCCAGUUCGAUGUGUAGCAGUGGUCAAAGAAGCUAGUGAAGGGUUAGGCAUCCUUUGGAGCAGAGGCUGGGCUUCAUCUGUGACUGGGAAGGACAGAGCUGGAGAAGGUGUUUUAGGAUCAGGAAGAUCCCAGCCAUGCUUGUUUGGUGAAGGCAGCAUCAUUAUGUCAAUGUUCCUCUGUCUGGAGGCUUUCAGGAGCAGUUAUGGGAAGAUGUCCACAAAAGCCCACCCCCACAAAGGAAGCUGUUUCAUUUUGCAUGGAGAUAUCAAUGGUUCAAUGGACUAUUCAGUGAAGACGCGAAUGUCGCUCGCUGCUCUGAGGGUGGUAUUCAGCUGGGAGGAGGGAUACUUGCAGCUAAGGAAUCCACAAGUAUUUCAGAAUAAAUAAGUACUGGAGCAAAAUGC